AUUGAACGCUGGCGGCAGGCCUAACACAUGCCAGUCGAGCGGAUGAAGGGAGCUUGCUCCUGGAUUCAGCGGCGGACGGGUGAGUAAUGCCUAUGAAUCUGCCUGGUCGUGGGGGAUAACGUCCGGAAACGGGCGCUAAUACCGCAUACGUCCUGAGGGAGAAAGUGGGGGAUCUUCGGACCUCACGCUAUCAGAUGAGCCUAGGUCGGAUUAGCUAGUUGGUGGGGUAAAGGCCUACCAAGGCGACGAUCCGUAACUGGUCUGAGAGGAUGAUCAGUCAGCUUGGCACAGAGGAACGGUAGAGACUCCUACGGGGGGCAGCAGUGGGGAAUACUGGGCGAUGGGGGAAAGCCUGAUCCAGCCAUGCCGCGUGUGUGAAGACGGUGUUAGGAUGGUAAAGCACUUUAAGUUGGGAGGAAGGGCAGUAAGUUAAUACGUUGCUGUUUUGACGUUACCAACAGAAUAAGCACCGGCUAACUUCGUG
RNAcentral lists this ribosomal RNA (484 nucleotides) under uncultured bacterium. Its description in RNAcentral is "partial 16S ribosomal RNA". It matches the Rfam family "Bacterial small subunit ribosomal RNA", at positions 30 to 507 of the family's 1533-position model. The record is from RNAcentral.